Molecule: ribosomal RNA, 440 nt
Filed under: uncultured bacterium
Lineage: Bacteria
Description: partial 16S ribosomal RNA
Rfam family: Bacterial small subunit ribosomal RNA
Source: RNAcentral
CCUACGGGAGGCAGCAGUGGGGAAUAUUGGACAAUGGGGGAAACCCUGAUCCAGCGACGCCGCGUGAGUGAAGAAGUAUUUCGGUACGUAAAGCUCUAUCAGCAGGGAAGAAAAUGACGGUACCUGACUAAGAAGCACCGGCUAACUACGUGCCAGCAGCCGCGGUAAUACGUAGGGGGCAAGCGUUACCCGGAUUUACUGGGUGUAAAGGGAGCGUAGACGGGAGUGCAAGUCAGGAGUGAAAUGCCGGGGCGCAACCCCGGAACUGCUUUGGAAACUGUGAAGCUGGAGUGCAGGAGAGGUAAGUGGAAUUCCUGGUGUAGCGGUGAAAUGCGUAGAUAUCAGGAGGAACACCGGCGGCGAAGGCGGCUUACUGGACUGUAACUGACGUUGAGGCUCGAAGGCGUGGGGAGCAAACAGGAUUAGAUACCCUAGUAGUC